UACGUAGGGGGCAAGCGUUGUCCGGAAUCAUUGGGCGUAAAGAGCGUGUAGGCGGCCCGAUAAGUCCGCCGUGAAAGCCCAGGGCUCAACCCUGGGAUGCCGGUGGAUACUGUCGGGCUAGAAUCCGGAAGAGGCGAGUGGAAUUCCCAGUGUAGAGGUGAAAUUCGUAGAUAUUGGGAAGAACACCCGUGGCUAAGGCGGCUCUCUAGUACGGUACUGACGCUGAGACGCGAAAGCGUGGGGAGCGAACAGG
Molecule: ribosomal RNA, 253 nt
Filed under: uncultured bacterium
Lineage: Bacteria
Description: partial 16S ribosomal RNA
Rfam family: Bacterial small subunit ribosomal RNA
Source: RNAcentral